UACGAAGGGGGCUAGCGUUGUUCGGAUUUACUGGGCGUAAAGCGCACGUAGGCGGAUUGUUAAGUCGGGGGUGAAAUCCUGGAGCUCAACUCCAGAAUUGCCUUCGAUACUGGCUUUCUAGAGGCUGGAAGAGGUUAGUGGAAUUCCCAGUGUAGAGGUGAAAUUCGUAGAUAUUGGGAAGAACACCAGUGGCGAAGGCGGAUAACUGGUCCAGAUCUGACGCUGAGGUGCGAAAGCGUGGGGAGCAAACAGG
RNAcentral lists this ribosomal RNA (253 nucleotides) under uncultured bacterium. RNAcentral describes it as "partial 16S ribosomal RNA". It matches the Rfam family "Bacterial small subunit ribosomal RNA", at positions 524 to 776 of the family's 1533-position model. The record is from RNAcentral.